This 701-nucleotide long non-coding RNA is filed under the name Trifolium pratense (red clover). Its description in RNAcentral is "long non-coding RNA (TPRA_LNC001873)". The record is from RNAcentral. Lineage: Eukaryota; Viridiplantae; Streptophyta; Magnoliopsida; Fabales; Fabaceae.
GGACUAUACAGGCAUAACAAUAAAAAUAAAAAAAAUAAUAAUUUGAAAAUCUCAAACUUGGCUCAGAAACUUUUUGGAAAAUAUGAUACAAAUAUAUUGCUUUCUAUAUAUACACAUGAAUACAAAUAUUUUGUUGGUAUAAUUGUAGCGAACCUCAUUUACAUUUAGAAAUUAUGAAUUCAUCUACUACGAAAUUCUACACCGUCUUCAUGUUCUUGUGUUUUGUCAUCAUUCUCCUUAUUUCUUCAUGUGGUAUAAAAUAACAAUGCAAUUUAUAAUAUUAUGACACUUCUUUAAUUAACUUUAAUAAUAUUAUUAUUAUUACUACUACUAUUAUUAUUAUGAAUUUUUUUUUUUUUUUUCUUCUUUUUAUGUUUAGAGCCACUGGGAAUAUUUGAAGAUGGUGGUUGUAGAGAGAUAAGUAAAACAUGGGAAAAAAAGUAUUGUCAUUAUAAUAACUUUGAUAACUCGGAAUGUAAUUCAACAUGUGUCAACUUGGAGCAUGCAAUGUUUGGUGGUUGUCAAUAUAGUCCUCGUUCUUGGUCAUUUCCUAGGCUUUGUUACUGCAACUACAAGUGUAACGAAUAUAUACCGCCGUGGUUUUAAACUAUGUUUGGAUUGGUGAAACAUGAUGGAAUGGAACAUGAUGGAACUCAUUCCAUACCACCAUCUCCUUCUAUUUUUUAUUCCAUCUAAUUUGG